Molecule: ribosomal RNA, 200 nt
Filed under: uncultured eukaryote
Lineage: Eukaryota
Description: partial 18S ribosomal RNA
Rfam family: Eukaryotic small subunit ribosomal RNA
Source: RNAcentral
AGCUCCAAUAGCGUAUAUUAAUGUUGUUGCAGUUAAAAAGCUCGUAGUUGGAUUUUGGAAUGGUGUGGCGCGUCCGCCGAAUGGUGUGUAUGUGUCGUGCUAUUCUUCCUGCUGGAGGUCUGGUCUGUACUUUACUGUGCGGGUCAGGAAUUCAGCACAUUUACUUUGAAAAAAUCAGAGUGUUCAAAGCAGGCAAUCGC